RNAcentral lists this ribosomal RNA (253 nucleotides) under uncultured bacterium. Its description in RNAcentral is "partial 16S ribosomal RNA". It matches the Rfam family "Bacterial small subunit ribosomal RNA", at positions 524 to 776 of the family's 1533-position model. The record is from RNAcentral.
UACGUAGGGGGCAAGCGUUGUCCGGAAUCAUUGGGCGCAAAGAGCGUGUAGGCGGCCAGAUAAGUCCGCUGUGAAAUCUCGAGGCUCAACUUCGAGCUGUCGGUGGAAACUGUCUGGCUAGAGUCCGGAAGAGGAGAAUGGAAUUCCUGGUGUAGCGGUGAAAUGCGCAGAUAUCAGGAAGAACACCCGUGGCGAAGGCGGUUCUCUGGGACGGUACUGACGCUGAGACGCGAAAGCGUGGGGAGCGAACAGG